Molecule: ribosomal RNA, 495 nt
Filed under: Serratia proteamaculans
Lineage: Bacteria; Pseudomonadati; Pseudomonadota; Gammaproteobacteria; Enterobacterales; Yersiniaceae
Description: bacterial SSU rRNA
Rfam family: Bacterial small subunit ribosomal RNA
Source: RNAcentral
AGAGUUUGAUCCUGGCUCAGAUUGAUCGCUGGCGGCAGCUCUAACCCAUGCAAGUCGAGCGGUAGCACAGGGAGCUUGCUCCUGGGUGACGAGCGGCGGACGGGUGAGUAAUGUCUGGGAAACUGCCUGAUGGAGGGGGAUAACUACUGGGAAACGGUAGCUAAUGCCGCAUAACGUCUACGGACCAAAGUGGGGGACUUUCGGCCUCAUGCCAUCAGAUGUGCCCAGAUGGGAUUAGCUAGUAGGUGGGGUAAUGGCUCACCUAGGCGACGAUCCCUAGCUGGUCUGAGAGGAUGACCAGCCACACUGGAACUGAGACACGGUCCAGACUCCUACGGGAGGCAGCAGUGGGGAAUAUUGCACAAUGGGCGCAAGCCUGAUGCAGCCAUGCCGCGUGUGUGAAGAAGGGCUUCGGGUUGUAAAGCAACUUUCAGCCGAGGAGGAAGGGUUCAGUGUUAAUAGCACUGUCAUUGUCGUACAUCGCUAUAUAGACUA